UACGGAGGGUGCAAACGUUGCUCGGAAUCAUUGGGCGUAAAGCGCACGUAGGCGGUUCGUUAAGUCGGAUGUGAAAGCCCCGGGCUCAACCCGGGAAGGGCAUUCGAAACUGGCGGACUUGAAUAUGGAAGAGGGUCGCGGAAUUCCCGGUGUAGAGGUGAAAUUCGUAGAUAUCGGGAGGAACACCAGUGGCGAAGGCGGCGACCUGGGCCAAUAUUGACGCUGAGGUGCGAAAGCGUGGGGAGCAAACAGG
This 253-nucleotide ribosomal RNA is filed under the name uncultured bacterium. RNAcentral's name for it is "partial 16S ribosomal RNA". It matches the Rfam family "Bacterial small subunit ribosomal RNA", at positions 524 to 776 of the family's 1533-position model. The record is from RNAcentral.